CUUUGAGAAAGUAAGGACCUCUAUAUAGCAUUUUCAAUAAUAUUUGUUGUAUUUAUUAUUGAAGUACAUAUUAUAAAUUCUUCUGUUCAGGGACUUUUGAUUGGAAAUUUCUGUACCAUACACAGGUUUAAAUACAACAUGUUGGAUUUGGUGAAUUACACAAAAGGGGAAACUCACUCAACCAAAAACGGAUUAAGUGGCUGGCGGCGAGGGCAAAAAAGCCGGCAAAGAGGCGCAAAAAGUGGCAAAAACUUGACCAGGCCAACGAUGGCUGGCGGGGAAUUAUUAUGCAGCAGCAAUUACUCGCCAAUUGUCGUCGCAAUGAGAUUGUAGAGAACGGGAACAAAAGGAGAAAAAGCUGUUCGAAAAGGCGAUAAUCCAGUCGGGAACCGAUCGGGAACCACGGAUCGCAACGAUCAAACGCGUCUGGAUCUUGGAUCUUGGCCAGCAGCUCAGCAUCCAGCAUCCAGCAGCCAGCAACUCCACUCUUUUGGCCCGGCUGGUUAUGACCAAAUGGAGAGGAUCAGCAGUCGCCCCCUGUGAUUAUUUUUAUUAUAAUUGCGCGUUUAUUGGCGUGAGGAUAUGUUGCCACUCGAAUCCGUGGGGACACCACACACAAUAACGCCGCAACGAGUCUUUAUCUACAACUGCUAAUGACGACGACACCUUGGUAAAAAAAACCCCUCAACUCCCCUUGUGGUUCCACAAGCUAUCUCUCUGGACACUGGACAAUCUGAAAACAUCCCACUAAUUUUUCCAUAUAUGUCCAAAGUGGUACACAAACGGCAAACGGCAAAUCGGCUUUGAUUUGUGUGGCAAACUUGGCGCUUGUUGUACAGCAUUUUUGCGUCUCUUGAACGCAGCAUUUCCCUCUGCAUUUGUUGCUCUUUAGUUUAUAGAGUUUAUAUGCCUUUGGGUUAUUCAGAAGUCAAAGCGAAUCGCCGACAAGAAAUGUAAAGAGCGUAUUGUGUAAUUAAACGCAGCACAACUAUUUUUUAUACUUAGUUAAAAACGAAAUUUGUAUCUUGUAUAUCAAAGUCACAGUCAAGAAUUCUUUAUAACGCUUCAGGGCUUUACCAAUUGUGAGGUUUUAUUAAAUCAAAUACAAACCCAAAAUGAAAUUACAGUUCUUGUGUUAUCCAUAUCAGAUUUUCUAUAUUGUAAUAACUAAUGGCUUAUUUCCCACUUGACAUAUGUAUCUAUGAUCUCGCAGAGCCUUACCUUCAUUACCUCAUCAAUUCUUUCAAGCGACUGCAGUUCAAUUAGGAAGUGCAUUUAUAAUAACCCAAAGCGAACUGUAAACUCCAAUUAACAAACUGUUGAAGUAGAUUUCUGAUCAACCAAUCGCCGUUGGCGCCAACAGACCCAACAAAGCCGUUAAACUGUUGGAAACGUUCCUGAAAUAAUUAACUAUUGAUCUGAAAAGCAGUUGAAAGUACAAAAAAGUGUUUUAUAGAUUAAAAUCUUAAGCAAUUUGCAGACCCAGCACAGCCUAACACCAUAAAGUCGUUUAUUAAAGUAGGGAAAAGCCACUUGAAAUGAUUGAAUUUAUUUCCAGAAUUAAGAGUAAGUGUUUUGGGGUAAGAUUCUGCUAAUUGAAAUUUAAUUGGUGGCGCUUUUAUCAAAAAUCAGAUUAGAUUUUUACGACUUUUGCGGAUUUUAUUUCCUGUUUUUUAAGAAGCUCACCAUACAUUACGUAAUGUGUUAUGUAUAAAUUUUUAACUAUGUAUUUUUAUAAAUUUAUUAAAGUAGGGAAAAACCACUUGAAAUGCGUGAACUUAUUUCCACAAUUAAGAGUAAGUGUUUUGGGGUUAGGUUAUGCUAAUUGAAAUUUAAUUGGUGGCGCUUUUAUCAAACAUCAGAUUAGAUUUUUACGACUUUUGCGGAUUUUAUUUCCUGUUUUUUUUUUAAAUACAUUAAUGCAAUGUUUAUGUACAUAAUUUAACAAUAUAUUUGUAAACAUUUUUUUAUUAUUUUUAUUUUAUUCGGCAAUGCCACAUAAAGUUUAAUACACCUCAGAUUAUGUGAGCAAUAAAAAUAAAAAAAGA
Long non-coding RNA from Drosophila ficusphila, 2048 nucleotides. RefSeq lists it as uncharacterized. The record is from RefSeq and is a predicted model, not a curated record. The transcript has 4 exons. Lineage: Eukaryota; Metazoa; Arthropoda; Insecta; Diptera; Drosophilidae.